This is a long non-coding RNA of Saccostrea cuccullata (small rock oyster), 824 nucleotides long. RefSeq lists it as uncharacterized. The record is from RefSeq and is a predicted model, not a curated record. The transcript is spliced from 3 exons. NCBI's taxonomy places the organism in Eukaryota, Metazoa, Mollusca, Bivalvia, Ostreida, Ostreidae.
GUAUUUCGUAUUGUUCAGCCAAUUUUGUGUUGCUUUUGAACUUUGAUGCUUUUGACAAUCACUCGUAAGUUCAAAGUAAAAUCAAAGUUGUCAUAAUAAUGGAUAGUUGUUUUCAGUAUGUGUGUACUAGUGUGUAUAUGUACCACUUUCACAUUGAAUUUUUAGGGUGCUUUCACCAUAUGCAACAAUACUUUCAUCUGUGAAUACCCACUUUCUAAGCCCACCAUGAACUAAGAAGGUCAAUUAAUAUGGAAGGACACCAAUGAACAGACACUUUCCAAUUAUCGUACAUCAUAUACAUGGGUAAUCAAACUCACUGGAUGGUUUAUCAACACUCCCAUGCUCACGAACAGCCUUGCCCCAGGAAUUUUGCCCUGAAGUAACAUUGCAGUCUAUUGUCUCCUUUCUUUUUACAACCCUGACAGCCAUGCAGGAUAGAAGCUGAUCACUUGUACUUGACAGCAAAUAAUAAUAUCUUGGACAAGUCAAAGAAUUUCCUCCAGUCUUACAGAGAAAUGACAGUUGAUAAAAGAAUGGUGGACACAAAGUAAAAGUGCUCUUCAACAUUUUGUUGAAGAUUUCAGUCUGAUUUGGAAUUCAUCUUGCAAUAUUUCUGGAUUUGUAUAUUUGGAUAUAAGCGUCAAUUUUUCAACUAAUUGACUAAACAGUUUUGGGUUAAAUAUUGCCAAUGCUAUCUAUUAUUAUUAUUUCCCUCCAAGAUAACGUCAAGUCUUUAUUGUACCAGAAAAAUCUUGUAAUGAAAUCAUUUAGUUUUUUUUCUUGUUAGAUUAAAUUCAUGAAAAUAAAGAUUAUUUCUAAUGGCA